GGAAACGNUCUUUCCUCGGUG
This 21-nucleotide transfer RNA is filed under the name Hypsiscopus murphyi. RNAcentral's name for it is "partial tRNA-Lys". Lineage: Eukaryota; Metazoa; Chordata; Lepidosauria; Squamata; Homalopsidae. The record is from RNAcentral.